Molecule: long non-coding RNA, 1351 nt
Filed under: Sus scrofa (pig)
Lineage: Eukaryota; Metazoa; Chordata; Mammalia; Artiodactyla; Suidae
Description: lncRNA (ENSSSCG00000049783.1)
Source: RNAcentral
UUUCUCUCCUUUUAUUAGUGAGUCUGGCCAGAGGUUUGUCAAUUUUGUUUCCCCUUUCAAAGAACCACUUCUUGGUUUUAUUGAUUUUUUUUCCUGUUGUUUUUAGAAUUUCUGUAUUAUUGAUUUCCUCUCUGAUCUUUAUGAUUUCCUUCCUUCUGCUGACUUUAGGUUUUGUUUGUUCUUUUUCUAAUUCAUUUAGGUGGUGGGUUAAGUUGUCAAUCUGAGAUUUUUCUUCUUUUUUGAGGAAGGCUGCAUCUCUAUGAACUUCCCUCUAAGCACUGCUUUUGCAGCAUCCCAUAGAUUUUGAAUGGUUGUGUCUUCAUUAUCUUUAGUGUCAAGUAUUUUUUAAUCUCUUUUUUGGUUUCCUCAUUGACCCAUUGGUUUUUGAGUAGCAAGUUCUUUAGUCUCCAUGUAGUCAGUUUUUUCUCAUUUUUUUUUUCCUGUGGUUGAUUUCUAUUUUCUUGUCAUUGUAGUCAGAGAAGAUACUUGAAAUAAUUUCUAUACUCUUAAAUUUGUUGAGGUUGUCUUUGUGCCCCAGUAUGUCUCAGUCCUUGAGAAUGUUCCAUGUGCACUUGAAAAGAAUGUAUAUUCGAUUUUUUUGGAUGUAGUGUCCUGAAAAUGUCAAUGAAGUCUGACUUUUCUAUUGUUUCCUUUAGGAUCUCUGUUGCCUUAUAGAUUUUGUGUCUAGAGGAUCUGUUCAUCGAUGUGAGUGGGGUGUUAAAAGUCUCCUACUGUUAUUAUAUUCCCAUCCAUUUCUUCUUUUACGUCUGUUAGUAUUUGUUGUAGGUAUCUGGGUGCUCCUAUAUUAGGGGGUUAUAUAUUGAUGAUUGUAAUAUCCUCUUCUUGAAUAGAUCCUUUUGUCAUUAAAUAGUGUCCUUCUUUGUCUUUCUUUAUGGCCUUCAUUUUUAAGUCUAUUUUGUCUGACAUGAGUAUUGCAACUCCUGCUUUCCUGUCUUGUUCAUUGGCAUGAAAUGUCUUUUCCCAUCCUCUCACUUUCAAUUUAUAUGUGUUCUUUGCCCUAAGAUGAGUCUCUUAUAGACAGAAGAUUGUAGGUUUUUGCUUUUUUAUCCAAUCUGCCACUCUGUGUCUUUUGAUUGGAGCAUUCAGUCCAUUGAUAUUUAAGGUAUGUAUUGAUAAAUAUGCAUUUAUUGCCAUUUUAGACCUUGUUUUUCAGUUGAUUCUAUGUUCUGUUCUUUUUUGGUUGGAUGAUUUCCUUUUAUUUUAUGCUUGUAUACUUUUUAGUUUUUGUGAAUAUAAUGUUUGGUUUUGAUUUGUGGUUGCCCUGUUUUUCAAGUAUGUUAACCCCUUCCUAUAUCUGCUCACUUUAGCCUGACAGUCCUAUAGGCUCAAA